RNAcentral lists this ribosomal RNA (602 nucleotides) under Vishniacozyma carnescens. Its description in RNAcentral is "partial large subunit ribosomal RNA". It matches the Rfam family "Eukaryotic large subunit ribosomal RNA", at positions 38 to 631 of the family's 3401-position model. Lineage: Eukaryota; Fungi; Basidiomycota; Tremellomycetes; Tremellales; Bulleribasidiaceae. The record is from RNAcentral.
GCAUAUCAAUAAGCGGAGGAAAAGAAACUAACUAGGAUUCCCUUAGUAACGGCGAGUGAACCGGGAUGAGCUCAAAUUUGAAAUCUGGCGUCUUUCAGGCGUCCGAGUUGUAAUCUAUAGAGGCGUUUUCCGCGCCGGACCGCGUCCAAGUCUCUUGGAAUAGAGUAUCAAAGAGGGUGACAAUCCCGUACUUGACGCGACAACCGGUGCUCUGUGAUACGUUCUCAAUGAGUCGAGUUGUUUGGGAAUGCAGCUCUAAAUGGGUGGUAAAUUCCAUCUAAGGCUAAAUAUUGGCGAGAGACCGAUAGCGAACAAGUACCGUGAGGGAAAGAUGAAAAGCACUUUGGAAAGAGAGUUAAACAGCACGUGAAAUUGUUAAAAGGGAAACGAUUGAAGUCAGUCGUGUGAGGGGUAUUCAGCCGUCUCUGGCGGUGUAUUUGCCUCUCACGGGUCAACAUCAGUUUGAUCCGGUAGAAAAAGGCGGGAGGAAGGUGGCACCCUCGGGUGUGUUAUAGCCUCCUGUCAUAUGUGCCGGACCAGACUGAGGAACGCAGCUUGCAGCAAUGCCGGGAUUCGUCCACGUACAAGCUAGGAUGUGACAU